AACGAACGCUGGCGGCAGGCCUAACACAUGCAAGUCGAACGCUCCAGCAAUGGAGAGUGGCAGACGGGUGAGUAACGCGUGGGAACCUUCCCUAUGGUUCGGAAUAGCUCAGGGAAACUUGAGGUAAUACCGGAUAAGCCCUUCGGGGAAAGGAUUUAUCGCCAUUGGAUGGGCCCGCGUAGGAUUAGCUAGUUGGUGAGGUAACGGCUCACCAAGGCGACGAUCCUUAGCUGGUCUGAGAGGAUGAUCAGCCACACUGGGACUGAGACACGGCCCAGACUCCUACGGGAGGCAGCAGUGGGGAAUAUUGGACAAUGGGCGCAAGCCUGAUCCAGCCAUGCCGCGUGAGUGACGAAGGCCUUAGGGUUGUAAAGCUCUUUUGGCGGGGAAGAUAAUGACGGUACCCGCAGAAUAAGCUCCGGCUAACUUCGUGCCAGCAGCCGCCGU
This 447-nucleotide ribosomal RNA is filed under the name uncultured bacterium. RNAcentral's name for it is "bacterial SSU rRNA". It matches the Rfam family "Bacterial small subunit ribosomal RNA", at positions 29 to 521 of the family's 1533-position model. The record is from RNAcentral.